This 516-nucleotide ribosomal RNA is filed under the name uncultured Gammaproteobacteria bacterium. RNAcentral describes it as "bacterial SSU rRNA". It matches the Rfam family "Bacterial small subunit ribosomal RNA", at positions 9 to 522 of the family's 1533-position model. Lineage: Bacteria; Pseudomonadati; Pseudomonadota; Gammaproteobacteria. The record is from RNAcentral.
GAGUUUGAUCAUGGCUCAGAUUGAACGCUGGCGGCGUGCCUAACACAUGCAAGUCGAUCGGUAACGCGGGGCAACCUGGCGACGAGAGGCGGACGGGUGAGUAACGCUUGGGAAUCUGCCUAUUAGUGGGGGACAACCCGGGGAAACUCGGGCUAAUACCGCAUACGCUCCACGGAGGAAAGCAGGGGAUCGCAAGACCUUGCGCUAAUAGAUGAGCCCAAGUCGGAUUAGCUAGUUGGUGGGGUAACGGCCCACCAAGGCGACGAUCCGUAGCUGGUCUGAGAGGACGACCAGCCACACUGGGACUGAGACACGGCCCAGACUCCUACGGGAGGCAGCAGUGGGGAAUAUUGGACAAUGGGGGAAACCCUGAUCCAGCGACGCCGCGUGGGUGAAGAAGGCCUGCGGGUUGUAAAGCCCUUUCGGUGGGGAAGAAAAGCCUCGACCUAAUACGUCGGGGUCUUGACGUAACCCAUAGAAGAAGCACCGGCUAACUCUGUGCCAGCAGCCGCGGUA